GCUUGGGUAGCUCAGUUGGUAGAGCACUUGCUCGCGACGCAUGACCGCUACGGUCGCAGGUUCGAAUCCUGCCUCGGGCA
Molecule: non-coding RNA, 80 nt
Organism: Schistocerca piceifrons (Central American locust)
Lineage: Eukaryota; Metazoa; Arthropoda; Insecta; Orthoptera; Acrididae
Source: the annotation of a RefSeq genome assembly